RNAcentral lists this transfer RNA (74 nucleotides) under Rickettsiales bacterium. RNAcentral's name for it is "tRNA-Gly". It matches the Rfam family "tRNA". Rfam says of the family: Transfer RNA (tRNA) molecules are approximately 80 nucleotides in length. Their secondary structure includes four short double-helical elements and three loops (D, anti-codon, and T loops). Lineage: Bacteria; Pseudomonadati; Pseudomonadota; Alphaproteobacteria; Rickettsiales. The record is from RNAcentral.
GCGGGUGUAGCUCAAUGGUAGAGCGUUAGCCUUCCAAGCUAAAUGUGAGGGUUCGAUUCCCUUCACCCGCUCCA